This 253-nucleotide ribosomal RNA is filed under the name uncultured bacterium. RNAcentral's name for it is "partial 16S ribosomal RNA". It matches the Rfam family "Bacterial small subunit ribosomal RNA", at positions 57 to 305 of the family's 1533-position model. The record is from RNAcentral.
GCAAGUCGAACGGUAACAGGAAUUAGCUUGCUAAUUUGCUGACGAGUGGCGCACGGGUGCGUAACGCGUAUACAAUCUACCUUUUGCUGAGGGAUAGCCCAGAGAAAUUUGGAUUAAUACCUCAUGGUAUUAUUGAUAGGCAUCUAUUAAUAAUUAAAGGUUACGGCAAAAGAUGAGUAUGCGUCCCAUUAGCUAGUUGGUGAGGUAACGGCUCACCAAGACCACGAUAGAUAGGGGGCCUGAGAGGGUUGUC